AAAUGCCAGGGUCAGAAAGUCUAAGACCACAUGAGCUUGCUCAUAAGUGGGUGAAAGACUUUAGGACCCGCCCUGAUAUGAGCAUAAAAGUGGGCAAGCCAACGAUAUGCGAAUAUUGGGCAGGAUUGUGGAAGUGCAUAGCACGAAACAAUCCGUAGGCAUCG
Molecule: small RNA, 164 nt
Filed under: Roseburia sp. CAG:303
Lineage: Bacteria; Bacillati; Bacillota; Clostridia; Lachnospirales; Lachnospiraceae
Description: Clostridiales-1 RNA
Rfam family: Clostridiales-1 RNA
Source: Rfam by way of RNAcentral